This 490-nucleotide ribosomal RNA is filed under the name uncultured bacterium. RNAcentral describes it as "bacterial SSU rRNA". It matches the Rfam family "Bacterial small subunit ribosomal RNA", at positions 28 to 512 of the family's 1533-position model. The record is from RNAcentral.
GAUGAACGCUAGCGGCAGGCUUAAUACAUGCAAGUCGAGGGGUAUAAAGUAGCUUGCUAUUUUAGAGACCGGCAAACGGGUGCGGAACACGUACACAAUCUAACCUUAUCUGGGGGAUAGCCCAUAGAAAUGUGGAUUAAUACCCCAUAGUAUUACGGAGUGGCAUCAUUUUGUAAUUAAAGAAUUUCGGAUAAGGAUGAGUGUGCGUCUGAUUAGGUAGUUGGCGGGGUAACGGCCCACCAAGCCGACGAUCAGUAGCUGAUGUGAGAGCAUGAUCAGCCACACGGGCACUGAGACACGGGCCCGACUCCUACGGGAGGCAGCAGUAAGGAAUAUUGGUCAAAUGGACGGAAGUCUGAACCAGCCAUGCCGCGUGAAAGGACGAAAGGCGUUCUGCGUUGUAAAACUUCUUUUAUCAGAGAAGAAACCACGAUUUCUAUUGGUGUUUACGGUAUCUGAUGAAUAAGCACCGGCUAAACUCCGUGCCAGC